AUCGCCUGAAGAGGGGUUUGCGUCCGAUUAGGUAGUUGGUGAGGUAACGGCCCACCAAGCCGACGAUCGGUAGCCGGUCUGAGAGGAUGAACGGCCACAUUGGAACUGAGACACGGUCCAGACUCCUACGGGAGGCAGCAGUGGGGAAUCUUCCGCAAUGGGCGAAAGCCUGACGGAGCAACGCCGCGUGAGUGAAGACGGCCUUCGGGUUGUAAAACUCUGUGAUUCGGGACGAAAGAUAAGUAGACGAAUAAUCUGCAUAAGUGACGGUACCGAAAAAGCAAGCCACGGCUAACUACGUGCCAGCAGCCGCGGUAAAU
This 320-nucleotide ribosomal RNA is filed under the name uncultured Dialister sp. RNAcentral describes it as "bacterial SSU rRNA". It matches the Rfam family "Bacterial small subunit ribosomal RNA", at positions 214 to 525 of the family's 1533-position model. Lineage: Bacteria; Bacillati; Bacillota; Negativicutes; Veillonellales; Veillonellaceae. The record is from RNAcentral.